UUGGGAAUAUUGGACAAUGGAGGAAACUCUGAUCCAGUGACGCCGCGUGAAGGAAGAAGGUCUUCGGAUUGUAAACUUAUUUUGUCAGGGAAGAAUAAUGACUGUACCUGAAGAAGAAGGACCGGCAAACUACGUGCCAGCAGCCGCGGUAAUACGUAGGGUCCAAGCGUUAUCCGGAUUUACUGGGUGUAAAGGGCGAGUAGACGGCCAAGCAAGUCAGAUGUGAAAACUCAGAGCUCAACUUUGAGACUGCAUCUGAAACUGUUUGGCUAGAGUACAGAAGAGGUAAGUGGAAUUCCUAGUGUAGCGGUGAAAUGCGUAGAUAUUAGGAGGAACACCAGUGGCGAAGGCGACUUACUGGGCUGUAACUGACGUUGAGGCGCGAAAGUGUGGGGAGCAAACA
Molecule: ribosomal RNA, 403 nt
Filed under: uncultured Eubacteriales bacterium
Lineage: Bacteria; Bacillati; Bacillota; Clostridia; Eubacteriales
Description: uncultured Clostridiales bacterium partial 16S ribosomal RNA
Rfam family: Bacterial small subunit ribosomal RNA
Source: RNAcentral